Molecule: long non-coding RNA, 1650 nt
Filed under: Betta splendens (Siamese fighting fish)
Lineage: Eukaryota; Metazoa; Chordata; Actinopteri; Anabantiformes; Osphronemidae
Description: lncRNA (ENSBSLG00000017647.1)
Source: RNAcentral
AUGUUCACGUUCCUGUCACCGCUCCGGCGCCUCCAACCCAAGCUCCCAAUGCCGCCGCCUCCGUUUGCCAUUCGGACCCAGCUGCAGAGACCCAGCCCCCACCGGACGGUCAGCCGCAGGCGCCCCAGACGACGUCGGCACGGUUCCGGGGUCCAGGGCCCAGAGACCUCGGUCGCGGUGGCCGAGCAGCUCUCCUCUCCGGCAGAGGAUUCCCUCGGUUCCCCUACUGACUGUGUCAUGUCAAUUGCAGGCAUACCCAAUAGCGUCGCACGACGGAUCCACCUCCACUGUUCUCCCCCGGUUGCGUUCCUCUUUUCCCACCUAAUGGACACUGCUGAUUUGACAGCAGACCAGGGCACAAGGGAACAACUAUUUGAGGAGGCAGCUGCCCUCAUCCUGAGGGAACCUGCCCUGCGUGCGGCCCUGCAACUACCGGGCCUGCAGCCAGCAGCCACGCCAGAUCCCAUGUCUCAGCCAAGUCAGUUUUGUCACGCUCAGGCUCCAGUGCAGCCCUGUCACGCUCAGGCUCCAGUGCAGCCCUGCCACGCUCAGGUUCCAGUGCAGCCCUGCCACGCUCAGGUUCCAGUGCAGCCCUGCCACGCUCAGGUUCCAGUGCAGCCCUGCCACGCUCAGGCCCCAGCCCCAGUCCAGUCGUGCUCUGCUCAGGCCCCAGCCCCAGGCCAGUCGUGCUCUGCUCAGGCUCUAGCCCCAGUCCAGUCGUGCUCUGCUCAGGCUCUAGCCCCAGUUCAGUCGUGCUCUGCUCAGGCUCUAGCCCCAGUUCAGUCGUGCUCUGCUCAGGCUCUAGCCCCAGUCACGUCCAGGUCCCAGUCCAGUCGAGUCACGUCCAGGUCCCAGUCCAGUCGAGUCACGUCCGGGUCCCAGUCCAGUCGAGACACGUUCGGGUUCCAGUCCAGUCGAGUCACGCUCAGGCCUUGUCCCUUGUCACACCCAAUCAGGCCCGACGUCUACUCCGUCGAGCUCGGCAGCUGCAAGCAGCCAUGCCAGCUCCAGAGAGGACGCCGUCUCAGUUCCUGUCGGCCCUGUAGAGGUCGUUCCAGUUCCUGUUCCUGUCGGCCCUGUAGAGGUCGUUCCAGUUCCUGUUCCUGUCGACCCUGUAGAGGUCGUUGCAGUCCCUGUCCCUGUCGGCCCUGUAGAGGUCAGGCCAGGAGGAGGUCGCGCCGGCUGCAGUUCCUGCCGCAGCUCCCGCCGACCUCCAGGAGGAGGUCGCGCCGGCUGCAGUUCCUGUUACAGUUCCUGCCAGCCUCCAGGAGGAGGAGGCUCGGCUCCGGCCGCACCUGCAUCGGUUCCUGGCGGCUCGGCUCUGGCCGUACCUGCAUCGGUUCCUGGCGGCUCGGCUCUGGCCGCACCUGCAUCGGUUCCUGGCGGUCCGGCGCCGACCACGUCUGCAUCGGUUCCUGGCGGUCCGGCGCCGACCACGUCUGCAUCGGUUCCUGGCGGUCCGGCGCCGACCAUGUCUGCAUCGGUUCCUGGUGGUCCGGCGCCGACCACGUCUCCACGUCUGUCCUCGUCUCUGGUUCCGGCCUCGCCUCCACGUCUGUCCUCGUUUCUGGUUCCGGCCUCGCCUCCACGGCUGUCCUCGUUUCUGGUUCAUCUGCUGGAUUCAUCUAUUUUUUUUUUUUCCACACGUAG